AUGAUGGCCAAAGUGAAGAUUUCAGAAAAGUGUAAAGGAAAUGUUGGACAUCUCUCUCCCAAAGUGAUUAACAGGUUCUUUAGAAAGUUCACAUACGUUGUUGGUAUAAGAAAUAGAAUUGGUUAUGAUGCAUAUAUUUUAGAGCAAGUUCUAAGACAAGUUGCCUCAUCGGCUAUCAGGUUGACGAGAGAUCUUGUUCUUCUACAAUGUCCACUUUGUAGCCAACUAGGGUUUCGUUGGAUCGUAUCUGAGGGAUACCUGCUGAAUUUGGAAAAUUUCUGUGUGAUUAGGGCUUGGUUCAAUGGAAGACUGUGA
Non-coding RNA from Vicia faba (fava bean), 315 nucleotides. The record is from the annotation of a GenBank genome assembly. NCBI's taxonomy places the organism in Eukaryota, Viridiplantae, Streptophyta, Magnoliopsida, Fabales, Fabaceae.